GCCCGGGUGGUGGAAUGGCAGACACGUGGGUCUUAGAAGCCCAUAUCGAAAGGUGUGCAGGUUCGAGUCCUGUCCCGGGCACCA
Molecule: transfer RNA, 84 nt
Filed under: Rariglobus hedericola
Lineage: Bacteria; Pseudomonadati; Verrucomicrobiota; Opitutia; Opitutales; Opitutaceae
Description: Opitutaceae bacterium 53C-WASEF tRNA-Leu
Rfam family: tRNA
About the family: Transfer RNA (tRNA) molecules are approximately 80 nucleotides in length. Their secondary structure includes four short double-helical elements and three loops (D, anti-codon, and T loops). Further hydrogen bonds mediate the characteristic L-shaped molecular structure. tRNAs have two regions of fundamental functional importance: the anti-codon, which is responsible for specific mRNA codon recognition, and the 3' end, to which the tRNAs corresponding amino acid is attached (by aminoacyl-tRNA synthetases). tRNAs cope with the degeneracy of the genetic code in two manners: having more than one tRNA (with a specific anti-codon) for a particular amino acid; and 'wobble' base-pairing, i.e. permitting non-standard base-pairing at the 3rd anti-codon position.
Source: RNAcentral